RNAcentral lists this ribosomal RNA (1436 nucleotides) under uncultured bacterium. Its description in RNAcentral is "bacterial SSU rRNA". It matches the Rfam family "Bacterial small subunit ribosomal RNA". The record is from RNAcentral.
AGAGUUUGAUCCUGGCUCAGAACGUACGCUGGCGGCACGCCUUAUACAUGCAAGUCGAACGAAGUAGCAAUACUUAGUGGCAGACGGGUGAGUAACAUGUGGGUAUCUUCCCUUUGGCCUGGAAUAACACGAGGAAACUUGUGCUAAUACUGGAUAAGUCUUUACGGAGAAAGCUUUAUGCACCAUUGGAUGAGCCCGCACUUGAUUAGUUUGUUGGUGGGGUAAUGGCCUACCAAGACAAUGAUCAAUAGCUGAUUUGAGAGGAUGAUCAGCCACAUUGGAACUGAGACACGGUCCAAACUUCUACGGAAGGCAGCAGUAGGGAAUCUUGCACAAUGGAGGAAACUCUGAUGCAGCGAUGCCGCGUGAGUGAAGAAGGCCUUUGGGUUGUAAAGCUCUUUCGUCGGGGAAGAAAAUGACUGUACCCGAAUAAGAAGGUCCGGCUAACUUCGUGCCAGCAGCCGCGGUAAUACGAAGGGACCUAGCGUAGUUCGGAAUUACUGGGCUUAAAGAGUUCGUAGGUGGUUAAAAAAGUUGGUGGUGAAAUCCCAGAGCUUAACUCUGGAACUGCCAUCAAAACUUUUUAGCUAGAGUAUGAUAGAGGAAAGCAGAAUUUCUAGUGUAGAGGUGAAAUUCGUAGAUAUUAGAAAGAAUACCAAUUGCGAAGGCAGCUUUCUGGAUCAUUACUGACACUGAGGAACGAAAGCAUGGGUAGCGAAGAGGAUUAGAUACCCUCGUAGUCCAUGCUGUAAACGAUGUGUGUUAGACGUUGGAAAUUUAUUUUCAGUGUCGCAGCGAAAGCAAUAAACACACCGCCUGGGGAGUACGACCGCAAGGUUAAAACUCAAAUGAAUUGACGGGGACCCGCACAAGUAGUGGAGCAUGUGGUUUAAUUCGAAGAUACGCGCAGAACCUUACCAACACUUGACAUGUUCGUCGCGACUCUAAGAGAUUAGAGUUUUCGGUUCGGCCGGACGAAACACAGGUGCUGCAUGGCUGUCGUCAGCUCGUGUCGUGAGAUGUUGGGUUAAGUCCCGCAACGAGCGCAACCCUUACUUUUAGUUGCCAUCAUUUAGUUGGGCACUCUGAAAGAACUGCCAGUGAUAAGCUGGAGGAAGGUGGGGAUGACGUCAAGUCCUCAUGGCCCUUAUGUGUUGGGCUACACACGUGCUACAAUGGUAUCUACAACAGGAAGCAAGAUGGCAACAUUAAGCAAAUCCCAAAAAGAUACCUCAGUUCGGAUUGCACUCUGCAACUCGAGUGCAUGAAGCUGGAAUUACUAGUAAUCGUGGAUCAGCGUGCCACGGUGAAUGCGUUCCCGGGUCUUGUACACACCGCCCGUCACACCAUGGGAGUUGGUUCUACCUUAAGGCAAAGUUUAAAACCUUUGACUACGGUAUAGUCAGCGACUGGGGUGAAGUCGUAACAAGGUAACC